This 73-nucleotide transfer RNA is filed under the name Nanobdellati archaeon. Its description in RNAcentral is "tRNA-Pro". It matches the Rfam family "tRNA". From Rfam's summary of the family: Transfer RNA (tRNA) molecules are approximately 80 nucleotides in length. Their secondary structure includes four short double-helical elements and three loops (D, anti-codon, and T loops). Further hydrogen bonds mediate the characteristic L-shaped molecular structure. tRNAs have two regions of fundamental functional importance: the anti-codon, which is responsible for specific mRNA codon recognition, and the 3' end, to which the tRNAs corresponding amino acid is attached (by aminoacyl-tRNA synthetases). tRNAs cope with the degeneracy of the genetic code in two manners: having more than one tRNA (with a specific anti-codon) for a particular amino acid; and 'wobble' base-pairing, i.e. permitting non-standard base-pairing at the 3rd anti-codon position. Lineage: Archaea; Nanobdellati. The record is from RNAcentral.
GGGCUCAUCGGCUAGUCUGGUAGGCUUCCAGCUUCGGAAGCUGGCGACCUGAGUUCAAAUCUCAGUGGGCCCA